Molecule: ribosomal RNA, 495 nt
Filed under: uncultured bacterium
Lineage: Bacteria
Description: bacterial SSU rRNA
Rfam family: Bacterial small subunit ribosomal RNA
Source: RNAcentral
AUGAACGCUAGCGACAGGCCUAACACAUGCAAGUCAGGGGCAGCACAAGGAGCAAUCUGAGGUGGCGACCGGCGCACGGGUGAGUAACACGUAUGCAACCUGCCUGUAAGCGGGGAAUAACCCGUUGAAAGACGGACUAAUACCGCAUAAUACUAAAUUACUGCAUGGUAAUUUAUUUAAACAUUUAUGGCUUACAGAUGGGCAUGCGCAUGAUUAGCUAGUUGGAGAGGUAACGGCUCCCCAAGGCAACGAUCAUUAGGGGUUCUGAGAGGAGGGUCCCCCACACUGGUACUGAGACACGGACCAGACUCCUACGGGAGGCAGCAGUGAGGAAUAUUGGUCAAUGGACGAGAGUCUGAACCAGCCAAGUCGCGUGCAGGAAGAAUGUCCUUAAUGGAUUGUAAACUGCUUUUGCAGGGGAAUAAAGUGCAUCACGUGUGAUGUUUUGUAUGUACUCUGCGAAUAAGGAUCGGCUAACUCCGUGCCAGCAGCCGC